RNAcentral lists this ribosomal RNA (326 nucleotides) under uncultured eukaryote. RNAcentral describes it as "partial 18S ribosomal RNA". It matches the Rfam family "Eukaryotic small subunit ribosomal RNA", at positions 1470 to 1796 of the family's 1831-position model. The record is from RNAcentral.
CCCUUAGAUGUUCUGGGCCGCACACGCGCUACACUGAAGGAGGCAGCGUGUACUCCUGGAUCGAAAGAUUUGGGUAACCCGCGAAUCUCCUUCGUGCUAGGGAUUGAGGUUUGCAAUUAUCCUUCAUGAACGAGGAAUUCCCAGUAAGUGCAAGUCAUAAGCUUGCGCUGACUACGUCCCUGCCCUUUGUACACACCGCCCGUCGCUCCUACCGAUUGAAUGGUCCGGUGAGUUUUUUGGACUGUGGCAACGGUUUCGGUUCGCCGUACUGAUGCCGCGGGAAGAUACGCAAACCUUAUCAUUUAGAGGAAGGAGAAGUCGUAACA